This is a long non-coding RNA of Harpia harpyja (harpy eagle), 471 nucleotides long. RefSeq lists it as uncharacterized. NCBI's taxonomy places the organism in Eukaryota, Metazoa, Chordata, Aves, Accipitriformes, Accipitridae. The transcript is spliced from 2 exons. The record is from RefSeq and is a predicted model, not a curated record.
UCUGCCUCCACAGAGAGGGCCGGGGGUGCGCGGCGGCUUCUGCUGGGCGCUUCGGGCCUGCCCUGCAGCCAUUAAAGCCGCUUAAAGCCUCUGCGAGCGGGUGGUGGGGUCUCUUCGGGUGUUUAGUCGUCCCCACAAGUGCAGCUUGGGACGGCGUUUCGCGGUGUCCGCAGGCGGAGCCCGUUGACAGCUCUCGGUAUAUAAAUGGUCGAAGAUGUUGAAGCCUGAGCCUGAUGGAAAACUACCAGACAAGACUCUUAACAAGCAGCAGCAAUGAACUAUGUAAACGUAUGUCUUAACAGCAGCAACUUGAAGCCUCCUCAGGCAAAUUACCUCUUUAUUCUGCUUUUCAAGAUUUUUAAGGAUUCUGUGAUGAACGCAGAUCUUCCUUCCUAUAAUAUCAGCUCAGUGCUUCUUGUCUUACUCCCCUUACGUGUGGAAUAAAAAGUAUUUUUUCCUUUCUGAAACAAA